UGGGGAAUUUUGGACAAUGGGCGCAAGCCUGAUCCAGCAAUGCCGCGUGCAGGAUGAGGGCCUUCGGGUUGUAAACUGCUUUUGUACGGAACGAAAAAGCUCUCUCUAAUACAGGGGGUGAAUGACGGUACCGUAAGAAUAAGCACCGGCUAACUACGUGCCAGCAGCCGCGGUAAUACGUAGGGUGCAAGCGUUAAUCGGAAUUACUGGGCGUAAAGCGUGCGCAGGCGGUUUUGUAAGACAGAGGUGAAAUCCCCGGGCUCAACCUGGGAACUGCCUUUGUGACUGCAAAGCUGGAGUACGGCAGAGGGGGGUGGAAUUCCACGUGUAGCAGUGAAAUGCGUAGAGAUGUGGAGGAACACCGAUGGCGAAGGCAGCCCCCUGGGCCUGUACUGACGCUCAUGCACGAAAGCGUGGGGAGCAAACA
Molecule: ribosomal RNA, 427 nt
Filed under: uncultured bacterium
Lineage: Bacteria
Description: bacterial SSU rRNA
Rfam family: Bacterial small subunit ribosomal RNA
Source: RNAcentral